UAUUGUAACCUUGUUGAAUCUUGCUGGUAUCUUUGAUUCAUAGGUUGUUGGGUCUUUCUGUGUGUAGAAAUGAAAGCACUUAUGUUAUCUUAUUUAAAGAAACAGGUAUUUCUUUUUUUCUUUUACUAACUUAGAUUCUUUUUUUUCUUGUAGUAGUUAAUUAUAUUUUUGGUUUCAUAUGAGAUUAUCAUAGACUGAACUAAGUGAGUAACUUUCAAAUGCUGCAAGUGUGCUUAAGCGACUAAAUAUUCCUCCAACUUGUCCAAUGCCUUCUCCAUCGAGUAUCAACAACGACAGUCAAACUAAGUGCAAGUUAUUAGAUUGGUAUGGCUCGGGAGAGAUUGUUGCUGAAGGAAAAUGGUCUUCUAAUGAUCCAACUGCUCUAGUUCAUCAUGUUCCUAUUGGUCCACAUGCGAUUAGAGUAUGGGUUGAUGUAGCAAAGAAACCGAAUGCAUAUUUGUGGAGGCCAACAUGAGAAAUGACAUGUAUUGAAGAAGCUUUGGGAAAUAUAGUUGCAUGGCCAUCUGAUAAAGUGAUCAUUAGUAUGUUGUCUAAUUCUAAUAUUUUUUGUCUACAUUUGUUAAAGAUUUUCUAUACUUGUUUAAUUAAUAUAUGUUUUAUACAUUUAUGUA
Long non-coding RNA from Cucumis melo (muskmelon), 632 nucleotides. RefSeq lists it as uncharacterized. The record is from RefSeq and is a predicted model, not a curated record. The transcript has 2 exons. NCBI's taxonomy places the organism in Eukaryota, Viridiplantae, Streptophyta, Magnoliopsida, Cucurbitales, Cucurbitaceae.